RNAcentral lists this ribosomal RNA (1450 nucleotides) under Pseudacanthops centralis. RNAcentral describes it as "eukaryotic LSU rRNA". It matches the Rfam family "Eukaryotic large subunit ribosomal RNA", at positions 545 to 1882 of the family's 3401-position model. The record is from RNAcentral. Lineage: Eukaryota; Metazoa; Arthropoda; Insecta; Mantodea; Acanthopidae.
GUUGGAACAUCCCCCCCUCCGGCUGCUGGCCUCCGGAGUCUGAACAGCUUUGGCCGUUUCCCGUCCGCGGCGGUAUUGCUUCGGAUGCCUUCCCGACCCGUCUUGAAACACGGACCAAGGAGUCUAACAUAUGCGCGAGUCACUGGGAAUCCAUAAAGCCAGAGGCGCAAUGAAAGUGGGGCGGCCUCGUGCCGCCAAGGGAGGAUGACGACCCUUCGCGGGAAAGCCCGCACUCCCGGGGCGCCCCGGCUUCGGCCGUGGGCGCACUCGGAGCGUACACGUUGGGACCCGAAAGAUGGUGAACUAUGCCUGGUCAGGACGAAGUCAGGGGAAACCCUGAUGGAGGUCCGCAGCGAUUCUGACGUGCAAAUCGAUCGUCAGAGCUGGGUAUAGGGGCGAAAGACUAAUCGAACCAUCUAGUAGCUGGUUCCCUCCGAAGUUUCCCUCAGGAUAGCUGGCGCCCGCUUGGAACGGGACGAGUCUCAUCCGGUAAAGCGAAUGAUUAGAGGCCUUGGGGCCGAAACGACCUCAACCUAUUCUCAAACUUUAAAUGGGUGAGAACUCCGGCUUGCUCGAUUGAAGCCGCGAGACGGAUCAGGGUGCCAAGUGGGCCAUUUUUGGUAAGCAGAACUGGCGCUGUGGGAUGAACCAAACGCCGGGUUAAGGCGCCUAAACCGGAGCUCAUGGGAGACCAUGAAAGGCGUUGGUUGCUUAAGACAGCAGGACGGUGGCCAUGGAAGUCGGAAGCCGCUAAGGAGUGUGUAACAACUCACCUGCCGAAGCAACUAGCCCUGAAAAUGGAUGGCGCUAAAGCUCCGUGCCUAUACCCGGCCGCCGGAAGGCAUUGGCGCGAGGCGCUCCCCUCCGGGGGGGGCUCCGAGCGCGCGAAGCCCCGGCGAGUAGGAGGGCGCGGCGGUGAGCGCGGAAGGGUCUGGGCGCGAGCCUGCCUGGAGCCGCCGCCGGUGCAGAUCUUGGUGGUAGUAGCAAAUACUCAAGCGAGGGCCUUGAGGGCUGAUGUGGAGAAGGGUUUCGUGUGAACAGCCGUUGCACACGAGUCAGUCGAUCCUAAGCCCUAGGAGAAAUCCGAUGUCGAUGCGGGGGGGCUACAACAAGUUUCCCCCUCGAUGGGCGAAAGGGAAUCCGGUUCCUAUUCCGGAACCCGGCAGCGGAACCGAAUCUACGGGCCCUCAUCUGAGAAGCUCGUCGGGGUAACCCAAAGGGACCCGGAGACGCCGUCGGGAGACCCGGGCAGAGUUUUCUGUUCUGCAUAAGCGUUCGAGUUCCCUGGAAUCCUCUAGCAGGGAGAUAGGGUUUGGAACGCGAAGAGCACCGCAGUUGCGGCGGUGUCCGGGUCGUCCCCUCGGACCUUGAAAAUCCGGGAGAGGGUCACGCGGAGGUGUCGCGCCGGCUCGUACCCAUAUCCGCAGCAGGUCUCCAAGGUGAAGAGCCU